RNAcentral lists this non-coding RNA (57 nucleotides) under unclassified sequences. The record is from RNAcentral.
UGUAUAAUGCGGCUCCGAAAGAAACGGUUCCAAGCCCGUGAAAACGCAGAGGAUACA